RNAcentral lists this ribosomal RNA (464 nucleotides) under uncultured bacterium. RNAcentral's name for it is "SSU rRNA". It matches the Rfam family "Bacterial small subunit ribosomal RNA", at positions 26 to 518 of the family's 1533-position model. The record is from RNAcentral.
AGGAUUAACGCUGGCGGCGUGCCUAACACAUGCAAGUCGAACGAGGUAGCAAUACCUAGUGGCAGACGGGUGAGUAACGCGUGGUCAACCUACCGUUGAGUGGGGGAUAACUAGCCGAAAGGUUAGCUAAUACCGCAUACGUCUCCGAGGGGCAUCCCUUGGCGAUAAAAGGAGCAAUCCGCUCGAUGACGGGACCGCGUCCCAUUAGCUAGAUGGUGGGGUAACGGCCCACCAUGGCACCGAUGGGUAGCUGGUUUGAGAGAGCGACCAGCCACACUGGGACUGAGAAACGGCCCAGACUCCUACGGGAGGCAGCAGUGAGGAAUUUUCCGCAAUGGGCGCAAGCCUGACGGAGCGACGCCGCGUGUGGGAAGAAGGCCUUCGGGUCGUAAACCACUGUCGAAGGGGACGAUAAUGACGGUACCCUUGGAGGAAGCCCCGGCUAACUACGCGCCAGCAGCCGC